UUUGUUGUGUGGACAAUAAUGGCGGCGGAAGGCACAGACGACUUGAGCAACAACGGGCAUCUGACAAACCCUUCAGGGUUGUAUGAUCCUGAGGUUGCAGAACUUCCCAAGUCAGAUGUUGUUGGGUCAGAGGAGAGUGGUGAUGGGGGAGACACGAGCGCCCCAACAGCAUCCUACACGGCAGAAGGAGAGGAGGAGGAAGAGGGAGAGUUACCAGCAGACUUCGAGAGACUUUGGAAACUGACCAGUGACAAUCCUCUGGAUUUCAACAGCUGGACUGAUCUUCUGCAGUAUUGUGAACAAGAGGGCCACAUGAGGGCUUGUCGUCAAUCCCUGAAUGCAUUUCUGGCGAGGUACCCUCUGUGUUACGGUUAUUGGAAAAAAUUUGCAGAUCUCGAGAGACGAGCCGGUCACAACAACAAAGCUGAAAAGGUGUGUGAACAAGGUUUGAAGGCCAUCCCUCUCAGUGUUGAUCUCUGGAUUCAUUAUGUCAAUCUGCUGCUGGGAACGCUCAACAUGAACCUGCCUGAGUCAGCACAGCGCAUCCGCUGUGUGUUUGAGGAGGCAGUGGCAGCCGCUGGCUGGGACUUCCAUUCAGACAGGCUGUGGGAUCUGUAUGCCGAGUGGGAGAAGGAGCAGGGAAACCUAAAGGCCAUGACAGUGGUCUAUGACCGAGUACUGCGGGUCCCCACACAGUUUUACAACAUGCACUAUGAAAAACUAAAAACACACUUAACUUCCCACCCGCCGCAUGACGUCCUGUCCCCAGAGGAGUACAGGAAGGUGAGGGCUGAGUACAAACAGAGCCAAAUUCAGGCCAAAAAAGAGAGAACUGAUAUCGCUGCAGAUGAAGAGGAGAGACCGCCAGGGGAGGAAGAGCCUGCAGACAACGGAAAGGACUCGGAAGAGGCAGUACAGAAGAUGCAGGAGCUUCUGUUGGCCAGCAGAGAGGAAGUGUACCAGCAAAAUGAGGCAGAAGUCAGGAAGAGAUGGAACUUUGAGGAUGCUAUUAAAAGGCCGUAUUUCCAUGUGAAGCCUCUGGACAGAGCCCAGCUGAAAGCCUGGCAGAGUUAUCUGGACUGGGAGAUGGCAGAGGCUGAGACGGCAGAGAUGGAUGUCGAAAGGACGUCUGUGGAAGGCCAGGAAAGCUCCAAAAAAGUGUGUGUGGCUGGACAUGAGAGAGUACUGAUUCUGUUUGAGCGCUGUCUCAUUGCCUGCGCACUCUAUGAGGAAUUCUGGGAUAAAUAUGUGCAUUACCUGGAACCACGGUGUCUGGAGGAAGUGCGUAACGUGUACCGCAGAGCUUGUGAAAUCCAUCUUCCAUACAAACACAGCAUCCAUCUUCAGUGGUCCUCGUUCGAAGAAAAGCAUGGUAAUAUUUUAGAGGCACAGCGCAUUCUAGAGUCUCUGGAGAUGACAUUGCCUGGUUUGGCUGCGGUGCGUUUGAGGAGGAUAAGUCAGCAGAGGAGGGCAGGUCGUCUUGAUGUGGCAGAAUCGCUACUGAAGGAGGCACUAGAACAGAGUAAAGACAAUCCCUCACUUCAUGCCUUCUACUCGAUCAAACUUUCCCGCUUCCUUCUCAAGCUGUGCAAGAACCCAGCCAGGGCCCGCACUGUUCUACAGGAGGCCAUAGAGCUCAGUCCGGAUAACAGUAGGUUGUAUCAGAACCUUCUGGAUCUGGAGAUGUCAGGUGACCUGCGUGCUAAUGGUGGAGGGGUCCAGCAGUGUGUGGCUAAAGCUCUUGCUGCUCCUCUCUCCCCAAAGACCAAAAUCCUUUUCUCCCAACGUGGCCUACAGUACGCUGAGGAUUUUGGGACUACAGUACAAAGUGUGUUGAGUAUGUAUGACGAGCACCAAAAGCUGCUAAAGGAGCACGAUGGAAAGAGAGGAGCAGAGAACGGUGAUAGUGACGAUCCAGAGAAGAUGAGUAAAAUGGAUGAUGGAUCUGCCAUGACGGUGCCUCCACAGACCGCUCCACCCACUAUGCCUCACGUUCCCAUUACAACACCACCUCCUCCUAUGAUGGGUGGAGACAUGAGUGGAUCGUAUGGAAGUUAUGGGAGCUGGUACCAGCAGCAGUACGGGGCGUACGGCAGCUACCAGAACCCUUGGAAUCAGUACAAUCAGUACAAUCAGUACUACCCUCACAGCUAAACCUGUUCAGAGACUGAGGUCUGGAGUAUUGCUUCAUAUGAUCCACUCAAACAUCCUCAGUCUUCCCAAAUCAACAUAGGAAAGCGUCUAACUAUGAGCCAGUAUGCGGGGCAUCAAAACAAUGAGGGACAUGACUAUAAUCAAAGUCUUUCUAGCAAGUCAGUCCACUGGCGGCCAUCUUUGGAACGCCCUCGGGAGACUAUUUCCAGUCAUGCCAGUGCAGCUUCUAUCUACUUGAAUGGGGGAACACCGAAAUCUCAAAAACGGUUGGUGAAGAUUACGAUCAAAGAACAUAUUUAAAAUCAGCAAUAAAAUGUGAUAAUAUUGGAAUCAUAAAUUGUGCUGCUUUACCUAAUAUUACGCUAAAAACAUGCAAUUUUCCCGGCUUGUAUAGCUAAUGCGCAUACGCGUUAGCGAGUUGAUUAACAGGCGAUGUCUGUAUCUAAAAGGUGAUUGGCUCUUUUACCUGUAAAGCACGACUUCCUUUCUACAUCAGUUGGGCAUUAGAGCUUCAUGGUUGGGCUUUUCAAUUUCUCCCAUUCAUUUAAAUAGAAGUGGCCCGUCUCUGCUAUGAUUCAGAACAUAAAAUUGGCAUUGCACAGGCUCUUACCAGCUCAUAGAUAUCAGUGAAUAUUUGAAGAUUUUAAAGGUGCUGUAAGUGAUUUUAGAGUUCUGAAGUGUUCACGUGACUGAGCCAUUGAAUUAGCUGGGCCCCUCAUUGCAAAACCCCGCCCUCCAAAGAUAAUUUUGAGACCAAAACUGAGCAAAAGAGCAGCAUUGUUUGUUCUUGUGGCUGUCAAAUUCAGCAGUGUCACAAUAAUACCCGAGCAAAAUGACUGACAGGUGAAAAGCGUCAAUGUCCCCGGAAACUUUUUUGUUUGCUGUUUACAAAGUCUACAGCUGUCACAGAGACCAGUGAGAUAUCUCAGGACACUUAUUUCAUUAAUAUCUUUAAGGGAGUAGGAACAUUUUAUGCAUACCUUUUCAUGAAAAAAAUUGCUUACAGCUACUUUAAUGUCACUAGGCCUCAUUUAUGAAACUCGAACAGAACUAAUUUUUGUUUAAAUCAUUUGUCAAACAAUUCUUAUAUAAAUAAUCACAUUGAAAUGAAAA
This is an RNA transcript of Myxocyprinus asiaticus (Chinese sucker), 3267 nucleotides long. It is a transcript of the gene named pre-mRNA-processing factor 39-like, with no coding region annotated. The transcript is spliced from 15 exons. NCBI's taxonomy places the organism in Eukaryota, Metazoa, Chordata, Actinopteri, Cypriniformes, Catostomidae. The record is from RefSeq and is a predicted model, not a curated record.